GCCACGUUACUGCGGGGUGUAACGCCGCCUUGUUUUGACCAGUUUCUGUAGGUCACCGAGUCGACAUUUUCGCCGUCGUCGUCGAAAAUUCCUCUCGACACGAAAGCUAAUCCGCUUUCUGUACCGGCAGUGCAAUCAAGCUUGCAGCCAACAUCCAGACCCUCUCGAAGCCUCAAACAUGAAUGCAUCAGGCCUUCAGAAACACUGUGCUGCUGUUUGUCACAGAGUUGGUUCCAAACCAGAACCACAGACGACACUGCAGAAUUGGAUAAAGAUUAAAGAUAAGAUGGAGAAUGAAAGGACAAAGGGAAGACAUCAAGUAUUUUUCAGCUUCUCGAAGGAAAAACCUUCUCCUUUCCUGCCUGUAACAUUUGAUCUGGGUUCACCUUUAACAUGCACAACAAUUUAGGCCUUACCUUUGGACAGUUUGUUGGUCUACUGCACAGCAGAAAACUGAAUAAUUCGAGGUACAAUUAAAAUAUUUUAACUGGU
Gambusia affinis (western mosquitofish) is the source of this 492-nucleotide long non-coding RNA. RefSeq lists it as uncharacterized. The transcript has 2 exons. The record is from RefSeq and is a predicted model, not a curated record. NCBI's taxonomy places the organism in Eukaryota, Metazoa, Chordata, Actinopteri, Cyprinodontiformes, Poeciliidae.